GAUUCAAGGAAUAAGUGUUUUGUGCGCGCGCGUGUGUGUGUAUACCUUUGCGAAACGAGCUAGUGCAAGUGAUUUCUUUGAACAUAUGGCGUAACGAGCACAUUAGGAUACAGAGCUUCACGACGCUUCAUAUGCAAGAGUGGCGAUGGUUUGGCUUCUUCUUCUUCUUCUUUUGUGAUUAAUGGCCCUGGUCUUCGUUGACGAGAUAAACUCUAG
This is a long non-coding RNA of Atta colombica, 216 nucleotides long. RefSeq lists it as uncharacterized. NCBI's taxonomy places the organism in Eukaryota, Metazoa, Arthropoda, Insecta, Hymenoptera, Formicidae. The transcript is spliced from 3 exons. The record is from RefSeq and is a predicted model, not a curated record.